RNAcentral lists this ribosomal RNA (262 nucleotides) under Orchopeas agilis. Its description in RNAcentral is "partial 12S ribosomal RNA". The record is from RNAcentral. Lineage: Eukaryota; Metazoa; Arthropoda; Insecta; Siphonaptera; Ceratophyllidae.
AGUAAUAGAUAUAAUCUUGAAACUUAAAGAAUUUGGCGGUAUUUUAAUCUUUUCAGAGGAACCUGUUCUAUAAUCGAUAUUCCACGUUAAAUUUUACUAAAUUAUUUGUAUAUCGUUGUCGAAAGAAUAAAUUUUCAAAAAUUUUUAAAAAAAUAGAUGUCAAAUCAAGGUGUAGUUAAUAUUUUAGUAGAAAUGGGUUACAAUAAAUUUAUUUAGGAUAAUUUUAAAGGUGGAUUUGAAAGUAAAUUGAUUUUAAUAAGAU